UGAAAGUAUGAAUUAUGAAGUUCCCGUCAUGGCUCAGGGGUUAACGAAUCGACUGGGAACCAUGAGGUUGAGGGUUCAAUCCCUGGCCUCGAUCAGUGGGUUUAAGGAUCCGGCGUUGCCAUGAGCUGUGGUAUAAGUCACAGACACAGCUCAGAUCCCGUGUUGCUGUGGCUCUGGUGUAGGCCGGCAGCUACAGCUCCAAUUCGACUCCUAGCCUGGGAACCUCCAUGUGCCAUGGGUGCGGCCCUAAAAAGACCCCAAAAAAGAAAAAGUAUGAAUUAUAUGUCUAACUUUAUUCACCCAUCCACAUGUCCUUUGAAUCUACAUAGUUUAACAAGUUCAUCACCAAUUUGCAUUAGGUAAUCUUUUUCAUAAUUUGAAAUCAUUAGUCCAUUUCUAAAAUUGUUACAUGUUAACAAUUUCCAUCAGGAGAGAUGGUUAAUCUCAGUAAUCUGGACAAUGUGCUGAGGAAAAUGGGACUAGAACUCACCGAUAAGGAAUAUAAGGAGCUGCUGAAAACACUGCCAAUUCACGGUCAGUAUUUAGUACAUCCCUUGAAGCUUGGUUUCAUGGACGUGAGUGUGGAAACUAAUGAAAUUAUAUAUGUGUAUACCCGAUAAAACCUAUUUAGAAAACACGAUUCUCACAUAAGAAACUCUGUUCUUGUUGCUUAAAUUUUAAUACUGAAAAUUGACAUCUUUCACUCGUCUCCCACCAUAAAGGCUAAAUUAUCCUGUCCCUCUGAGCACACUGCCUAAUCUAAAUUAUGACCAAGGCAAAAAGGGAAACCCAGGAAGUAAUAAAAGGAAGGAAAAAGGGAGAAACUAGGCAAUAAGGCUAUUUUAACUCAACCAAUAGGCGGAUUUAUAUCAGUGAAAGCUUUCUUCAUCUUUGGUUUCAUUCUUACUUGAGGGUAAAAUAGAAUAACUUCUAAACAAAUCUGAACAGGUUUUUUUUUCCCCCUAAGGUUAUGAAUGUUGUAUUGUCUUUGUGCUGUCUUUGUUAAUCUUUCCAUUAUUUAACCUAUUUCUUUAAUUGUGUCUUAUAUUACAGCUGAUGGAAAAGUAUACAAGAGUAGAUUGUUAAAAGCUGUGAAGGCCCUCAAAGGUGAGUAAAAAGCAUAGUGAAAAAUAAAAUCCUCAGCAUUGAAUCCUCAGCAGUUUCUUUUAAAUGUUCCAAGUUUGCUUCCUGCCGACUGAUUGAUUGUUAUGACUCAUAACCUCUCAUUCUUCUUUGGGUGCUUUGACCUUUAGGAUAUAAGUUAAAGUGUGUUACUGGAGAAAGUUCCUAACACUGUCUUCUGGUUAAAACUGUAUAGAUUGGUGGUUAUUUCAAUCAUGAAUCAUUAGAUUUACCUAUUCCUCUCUAAUGACCUCUCAUGGAAAACUGAAGCAGAGUCCCCUGGAUAGACAUUAAGAAAGAUAUCCUGGAGUUCCCAUCGUGGCGCAGUAGUUAAUGAAUCCGACUAGGAACCAUGAGGUUGUGGGUUUGAUCCCUGGCCUUGAUCAGUGGGUUAAGGAUCCGGUGUUGUCGUGAGCUGAUGUAGGUCGCAGACACGGCUUGAAUCUCGUGUUGCUGUGGCUCUGGUGUAAGCCUGUGGCUACAGCUCCGAUUCAACCCCUAGCCUGGGAACCUCCAUAUGCCACGGGAGCAGCCCUAGAAAAGGCAAAAAGACAAAAAAAAAAAAAAAAAAA
Molecule: long non-coding RNA, 1694 nt
Filed under: Sus scrofa (pig)
Lineage: Eukaryota; Metazoa; Chordata; Mammalia; Artiodactyla; Suidae
Description: lncRNA (ENSSSCG00030010158.1)
Source: RNAcentral